AAGGUAUUUGUAAUCUGGCAAACGAGCCUCAGAACGCAUACUAUAACUGAAUGAACAACUAUCACCAAGAGAGGCAUUAUUACGAACAGGGUCGCAACUACAUAUUAUUCAGGUGGAAGCGAACUUGGGGAGGGGCGCCCCUCUUGGGACGCGCCCCCUGGUCCAGCGCCACCAUGCGCUGCAUGCCCACUUUUUGCGGAACUGUUUACGAACCACGCAUGACAAUAAAACUCUGCCAAGUCGGUAGUACGGGUUCCUCUCCCAAUCGGCAGGUUGUUGGUUCGAUCUCCGCUCCAUCUCGUCUGUACCUGGGGAUGCAGUUCCCAUCUGCACCGUCACUGCAGAUGGGGGGUCAAGAAGUAAAUGCAGCCCGUUCACCCUUUGAGACAGCUUCAAAAUGCCAAAAGUCUGUGAUGUGUUGGUGGUUCUAGAGACAGAGAUUAAUGUUACUUUCAUGUUUCUAAAGUCGUUGGUCACAACAGAGUUAAAUUUAAAAACUACCGGGAAAAGUGGAUCAACAGUCUUAAAAACAGGAGGUAACUCGGUGCCAGAGUUUGCAGCGACCAAUGAAUAACCAAGCUUUCUUUUGAUGGAAGUACUGCCACCUUUUGUUGAGUUACAGUGGUGCAAGUUCCUCUUUAACUUCUCUGCUCUGUUUUUCCUUCCUGCAGCUCAGGAGAACAUCAGAGCUGAAACUGGGCAGGAUGUGAUUCUGCCGUGCCAAACUCCUGACAACAAUCCUGUCAUAGUCAUCCAGUGGAGGAGAAAUGAUUCGGUAUCAGAAUACGUUCUUCUGUUCAGAGACGAUCAGCUGGAUCCAGACAACCAGCAGCCGACUUUUAGGAACCGAGUGGAUCUGCUGUUCAGGCCGAUAAAAGACAGAAACGCGUCUUUGGUCCUGAAGAACGUGACGGCUGACGAUAAGGGAACCUACGAAUGUUGAGUUAUUGAGAGAGAACCGGGGAAAGAGAGCAGGUCUAACAUCUGAACCAGUCAGCAUCGUCAACCUGGACGUUGUUCCUCCUGGCCAAAAAGACGACCAAGAAGAAAACCAUGUCAGCUAUCGAAGACGUGAUGCUCUGAUCGGCGUGGCUGUCCUUUUCGCUGCUGCAGCUUCUGCUGCAGCUGGAGGAAAAUUAAAAUGGAGCUAUCUGCAGAGGAACAUCAGAUGAAAGAGCUUCCCUGAUCAAAUUUCACUUCUCUGUAAUUUUAGGCAGCGAAAUAAAAUGUUUUAAAAAUGUUGACUA
Poecilia latipinna (sailfin molly) is the source of this 1247-nucleotide long non-coding RNA. RefSeq lists it as uncharacterized. The transcript is spliced from 2 exons. NCBI's taxonomy places the organism in Eukaryota, Metazoa, Chordata, Actinopteri, Cyprinodontiformes, Poeciliidae. The record is from RefSeq and is a predicted model, not a curated record.